GGGUCAGUAGGUUGGUCGUGCCACCGGUACGUACUGGUCUCACUGAUUACUCCUUCCUGAAGAACCGUAAUGCCAUUAAUUUGGUGUUGCGGGGAAACAGGACUUUUACUUUGAAAAAAUUAGAGUGUUUAAAGCAAUCUAACGCUUGAAUACAUUAGCAUGGAAUAAUGAAAUAGGACGAUCGAUCCUAUUUUGUUGGUUUCUAGGAUUGACGUA
RNAcentral lists this ribosomal RNA (216 nucleotides) under Glomeromycotina sp. Its description in RNAcentral is "partial small subunit ribosomal RNA". The stretch from base 40 to 216 matches the Rfam family "Eukaryotic small subunit ribosomal RNA", at positions 686 to 864 of the family's 1831-position model. Lineage: Eukaryota; Fungi; Glomeromycota. The record is from RNAcentral.